Molecule: long non-coding RNA, 516 nt
Organism: Hibiscus syriacus
Lineage: Eukaryota; Viridiplantae; Streptophyta; Magnoliopsida; Malvales; Malvaceae
Exons: 3
Source: RefSeq, a predicted model, not a curated record
CGCAUUGAGUCUAGUUGAUUUAUACAUUUGAUCCCUUUUUCGUUUAAUUUUUUUGUUGAUUUCUAGGAAAAUGGUUAGUGUUUGUUAAUUUCUGAUUGGGAAUUUUUUCUUCUAGGAUAAUGAUUGAUACUGAUUAUUUGAUUUUUUAUUGUAAAGGAUGAGCUUCUAAAUAAUAUUUAAAUGGUGAUUAUUUGGUUUUAAUUGUUGUUAAUGGGUUUUUUUCUAAUGAAAAAUAUUUGUAAAGGAGAUUUUUACUAUAAUUGAUUCAACUUUUGCAGUCUGUAGAUUAUGGUGUCGUAGGCUCUGGGAAUACAACAAUGUAGGGGUAAAUUUUCUUAUCUUAGUUCAGUUUUCUUGUGAAUUCUAUGGCAUAGUCAGCUUAUCAUGUUGGAAUUUCAUUUGAAAAUUGUGUUGUGAAUUCAACGUUACUUUGCACAAUCACAUCGGAUGGACUUGUAUUUGAUUGCAUUGAUGAGAGGAUACAAUAUAGUCGUAAUAUACUACCUUUUUUUAUUG